ACAGGAUAAAACAGUACGGAUACAGUUAACGUGGACAUGCUGUUCGAGCCACUUAAUGUCAGUUCCUUCCUUACGAUCCACCUUUGGUCCUGAAACAAUAAUGUAGCAUAGCGAGUCCAAGCAUAUCGGUGUCUGCCAUUUUUGAUAUACUCCAGGAACAAAUGACAAAACUGAGAGACACUUGGGUGUAAUCUUGUACUAGAAAUUGUGCUCUUGCUUCCCAACGAGGAGAAGUACUGCCGCGAAUAUACAUACAAUAGGGAUUGCAUUGGUUCGCAUCAUUGUUGAGAUCCUCGGCAGAGUGGAUGUAAACGACGAGAACUCCUGUAAGGAAGUUUAUGCAAAUGAAGCUCGACAUUAGCGGUUACUACGUCACAUGCAAAGCGAAAAAACGAAUCGCUCGCUCGAUAUUCCCCGACAUUCUCCAAACUGACGAUGCAUCAAGUCGUGUAAAGGGUGCGUCAAAAACGAAUCUAUGUAGCCGUGUGCCUGCGGAUAACGCAUACUAUUCAUAACUCCACUCUGUUCGUAUAGUUUUACCUGCUCUACAUUUUCCGUAUGAAACUUUUCGCACUGCUGAAAAUAUUAAAAUUCAAUGAUGCCAAGCACUCGGCGCAAGUAUCCUAAGCCGGAGCCGAAG
Orussus abietinus is the source of this 640-nucleotide long non-coding RNA. RefSeq lists it as uncharacterized. The transcript has 3 exons. The record is from RefSeq and is a predicted model, not a curated record. Lineage: Eukaryota; Metazoa; Arthropoda; Insecta; Hymenoptera; Orussidae.